UGGGGAAUAUUGGACAAUGGGCGAAAGCCUGAUCCAGCCAUGCCGCGUGUGUGAAGAAGGUCUUCGGAUUGUAAAGCACUUUAAGUUGGGAGGAAGGGCAUUAACCUAAUACGUUAGUGUUUUGACGUUACCGACAGAAUAAGCACCGGCUAACUCUGUGCCAGCAGCCGCGGUAAUACAGAGGGUGCAAGCGUUAAUCGGAAUUACUGGGCGUAAAGCGCGCGUAGGUGGUUUGUUAAGUUGGAUGUGAAAGCCCCGGGCUCAACCUGGGAACUGCAUCCAAAACUGGCAAGCUAGAGUACGGUAGAGGGUGGUGGAAUUUCCUGUGUAGCGGUGAAAUGCGUAGAUAUAGGAAGGAACACCAGUGGCGAAGGUGACCACCUGGACUAAUACUGACACUGAGGUGCGAAAGCGUGGGGAGCAAACA
This 427-nucleotide ribosomal RNA is filed under the name uncultured bacterium. RNAcentral describes it as "partial 16S ribosomal RNA". It matches the Rfam family "Bacterial small subunit ribosomal RNA", at positions 355 to 774 of the family's 1533-position model. The record is from RNAcentral.